AAGGAGAACACUGUUCGAAUCGAAGCUACUGUUUGCUCCACCAAGCUGCCUGCUUUGCUAGCAUCCCAGGCAUGAUAAGCAACGGAGUAAAAGGCAGCACUACGAGUGAGAGCCUCCACGCCUGGGUGAAGCCGACUAAGUAGCAGCCGAGGAACUGAGUCGCAUUUCGGAUAAAGCUCCCCGUCUGCAGAGACAAGCCGAAGAGGCGUCAGUGGAGAUGCUGUUGACGACGUCACCGGUGGUGACAUUCGUGUCAAAAUAAGCUACAUUCUGCCGUAGGACGGAUCUGAGGUACGACGCGAUCCAUGCCCCCAGUGCGAUAUACACGAAGACUUGAGCGUUCUGGAGCAAGAACAACAUCAGCAAAAGAGACAAAGCAAGAGCAAGAAGAACAUCGUCAAAAGACAGAGCAAGAACAGUAAAAGGGAUGGCGAGUCCAUUGGCAAUGGCUCCCAGGCUGCCUGCGGCGAUGAGAAGAAAAUCGAAUGCAUCCGCGUGCUUGAAG
Long non-coding RNA from Selaginella moellendorffii, 505 nucleotides. RefSeq lists it as uncharacterized. NCBI's taxonomy places the organism in Eukaryota, Viridiplantae, Streptophyta, Lycopodiopsida, Selaginellales, Selaginellaceae. The transcript is spliced from 5 exons. The record is from RefSeq and is a predicted model, not a curated record.